GUCCGUAACAAGGUUUCCGUAGGUGAACCUGCGGAAGGAUCAUUACCGAGUGCGGGUCCUUUGGGCCCAACCUCCCAUCCGUGUUAUUAUACCCUGUUGCUUCGGCGGGCCCGCCGCUUGUCGGCCGCCGGGGGGGCGCCUUUGCCCCCCGGGCCCGUGCCCGCCGGAGACCCCAACACGAACACUGUCUGAAAGCGUGCAGUCUGAGUUGAUUGAAUGCAAUCAGUUAAAACUUUCAACAAUGGAUCUCUUGGUUCCGGCAUCGAUGAAGAACGCAGCGAAAUGCGAUAACUAAUGUGAAUUGCAGAAUUCAGUGAAUCAUCGAGUCUUUGAACGCACAUUGCGCCCCCUGGUAUUCCGGGGGGCAUGCCUGUCCGAGCGUCAUUGCUGCCCUCAAGCCGGCUUGUGUGUUGGGUCGCCGUCCCCCUCUCCGGGGGGACGGGCCCGAAAGGCAGCGGCGGCACCGCGUCCGAUCCUCGAGCGUAUGGGGCUUUGUCACAUGCUCUGUAGGAUUGGCCGGCGCCUGCCGACGUUUUCCAACCAUUUUUUCCAGGUUGACCUCGGAUCAGGUAGGGAUA
This 578-nucleotide ribosomal RNA is filed under the name Aspergillus niger. RNAcentral describes it as "partial 18S ribosomal RNA". The stretch from base 231 to 384 matches the Rfam family "5.8S ribosomal RNA". The record is from RNAcentral. Lineage: Eukaryota; Fungi; Ascomycota; Eurotiomycetes; Eurotiales; Aspergillaceae.